CCAGCAGGGAGCCUGCACCGAUCGCAGGAGACCACUGGGGGUCGGCUCCUGUGAUUGGUAGCAGGGACAGCUGGGUGC
Eptesicus fuscus (big brown bat) is the source of this 78-nucleotide non-coding RNA. Lineage: Eukaryota; Metazoa; Chordata; Mammalia; Chiroptera; Vespertilionidae. The record is from RefSeq and is marked provisional.